RNAcentral lists this ribosomal RNA (497 nucleotides) under uncultured bacterium. Its description in RNAcentral is "partial 16S ribosomal RNA". It matches the Rfam family "Bacterial small subunit ribosomal RNA", at positions 28 to 507 of the family's 1533-position model. The record is from RNAcentral.
GAUGAACGCUGGCGGCGUGCCUAAUACAUGCAAGUCGAGCGAACAGACGAGGAGCUUGCUCCUCUGACGUUAGCGGCGGACGGGUGAGUAACACGUGGAUAACCUACCUAUAAGACUGGGAUAACCUCGGGAAACCGGAGCUAAUACCGGAUAAUAUAUUGAACCGCAUGGUUCAAUAGUGAAAGACGGUUUUGCUGUCACUUAUAGAUGGAUCCGCGCCGCAUUAGCUAGUUGGUAAGGUAACGGCUUACCAAGGCAACGAUGCGUAGCCGACCUGAGAGGGUGAUCGGCCACACUGGAACUGAGACACGGUCCAGACUCCUACGGGAGGCAGCAGUAGGGAAUCUUCCGCAAUGGGCGAAAGCCUGACGGAGCAACGCCGCGUGGGUGAUGAAGGUCUUCGGAUCGUAAAACUCUGUUAUUAGGGAAGAACAAAUGUGUAAGUAACUAUGCACGUCUUGACGGUACCUAAUCAGAAAGCCACGGCUAACUACGUG